ACCCGCUGAACUUAAGCAUAUCAAUAAGCGGAGGAAAAGAAACCAACAGGGAUUGCCCUAGUAACGGCGAGUGAAGCGGCAGCAGCUCAAAUUUGAAAUCUGGCGUCUUUGGCGUCCGAGUUGUAAUUUGCAGAGGGCGCUUUGGCAUUGGCAGCGGUCCAAGUUCCUUGGAACAGGACGUCACAGAGGGUGAGAAUCCCGUACGUGGUCGCUAGCCUUUACCGUGUAAAGCCCCUUCGACGAGUCGAGUUGUUUGGGAAUGCAGCUCUAAAUGGGAGGUAAAUUUCUUCUAAAGCUAAAUACUGGCCAGAGACCGAUAGCGCACAAGUAGAGUGAUCGAAAGAUGAAAAGCACUUUGGAAAGAGAGUUAAAAAGCACGUGAAAUUGUUGAAAGGGAAGCGCUUGCAGCCAGACUUGCCUGUAGUUGCUCAUCCGGGUUUUUACCCGGUGCACUCUUCUAUAGGCAGGCCAGCAUCAGUUUGGGCGGUUGGAUAAAGGUCUCUGUCACGUACCUCCUCUCGGGGAGAACUUAUAGGGGAGACGUAAUGCAACCAGCCUGGACUGAGGUCCGCGCAUCUGCUAGGAUGCUGGCGUAAUGGCUGUAAGCGGCCCGUCUUGAAACACGGACCAAGGAGUCUAACAUCUAUGCGAGUGUUUGGGUGUCAAGCCCGAGCGCGUAAUGAAAGUGAACGGAGGUGGGAACCUUUCGGGGUGCACCAUCGACCGAUCCUGAUGUCUUCGGAUGGAUUUGAGUAAGAGCAUAGCUGUUGGGACCCGAAAGAUGGUGAACUAUGCUUGAAUAGGGUGAAGCCAGAGGAAACUCUGGUGGAGGCUCGCAGCGGUUCUGACGUGCAAAUCGAUCGUCAAAUUUGGGCAUAGGGGCGAAAGACUAAUCGAACUAUCUAGUA
This 908-nucleotide ribosomal RNA is filed under the name Boeremia exigua var. exigua. RNAcentral's name for it is "LSU rRNA". It matches the Rfam family "Eukaryotic large subunit ribosomal RNA", at positions 23 to 949 of the family's 3401-position model. Lineage: Eukaryota; Fungi; Ascomycota; Dothideomycetes; Pleosporales; Didymellaceae. The record is from RNAcentral.